UACGGGGGGGGCAAGCGUUGUUCGGAAUUACUGGGCGUAAAGGGCUCGUAGGUGGCCAACUAAGUCAGACGUGAAAUCCCUCGGCUUAACCGGGGAACUGCGUCUGAUACUGGAUGGCUUGAGUUUGGGAGAGGGACGCGGAAUUCCAGGUGUAGCGGUGAAAUGCGUAGAUAUCUGGAGGAACACCGGUGGCGAAGGCGGGUCUCUGGGCCGAUACUGACACUGAGGAGCGAAAGCGUGGGGAGCGAACAGG
Molecule: ribosomal RNA, 253 nt
Filed under: uncultured bacterium
Lineage: Bacteria
Description: partial 16S ribosomal RNA
Rfam family: Bacterial small subunit ribosomal RNA
Source: RNAcentral